This is a long non-coding RNA of Monodelphis domestica (gray short-tailed opossum), 2054 nucleotides long. The record is from Ensembl. Lineage: Eukaryota; Metazoa; Chordata; Mammalia; Didelphimorphia; Didelphidae.
CUUCAUUUGAUCUCACAGUAAACCCAGGAGGUAGGUGAGCUAUAUCAUCUUCAUUUAUUAUUAUGCCCAUCUCACAGUUGGGAAAACUGAGGUAAGGAGAGGUUAGGUGACUUGCCUGGUGUCACCUAGUUAGCUUAUGCACACCUGGGCCCCCACUCUACGCACUGUGGCAGCGAGCUACCUCUAGGUGGUGUGGCCGGAAGAGGGUCAGGAAUAGAAGGCCAGAAAUGUUGACUGGGGCAGCUGCCCUGGCCUCUCCUCUGGGGAGGCUUUUGUGUGAGGGCUCAGCGGGGCCUCGGUGGCUGGACUCGGCGUGGGAGCGGGCCUGUCAGUAAAAGGAGGGAGUCGGGCUGGAUGACCUCGGAGGUCCCUGCGUCCCCCCCAAGCUGUGGCCCAGAGUCUGGGAUAGUCCCCCAAAGGAGGGGGCCGAUUCCUCGUUUCCUCGGCUGGGAGUCGCCUCCUUGUCCCGGUUCUCCGAGCCCUUGGCCUGGCUCUCCUUGUCCGAGUCUCCCUUGUACCCUGGGGACGAGAAGACGGUUUUCACGGCUCCCGCUGCUUGGGGGCCGCUAAGUCACAAGGGACGUGGCAGCUUUCCUCCGUCUUGGGAGCGGUGGCCCUCAGAGGGGGCCUGUGGCUUGUUCUCCGUGGCUAAGGAGGCUGCGCUGGCCCUGGAGGCAGGAGGACUGGAGUUCAGGUGUGGCCUCAGACCCUUGCUAGCGGGCUGGGUGAGCCUGGGCCAGGCACUCAAGCUCUCUUCGGUGAAACUUCCUCCUGUGUCUCAUGACGGAAUCCGCCCUCAUCGCAAGGGUGCCACGCAGAAACCCUGUACCGAGCCGCGCGUUCUGCCCCAGCUGGCCCUUCUCCAGAGCCGCGGGGGCAGAGAACGGCAGAAUGGUGGCCGGGAGCCAACGGCGUCCUUCGGUGGCCUCCUGGGCAGGAGGAUUUCCAGCCAAGGCGCCCGGACCCUUCGGGGCGAGAGCCCAGGACACGUCCUUCCGUGGGCUCCUCCGCGCCUCCGGAGACGGCCGUCAGCAGCUGAUGCCGAAACAUCACAUCCUGGCAACUGCGGGCUCCUCCUGGGCUCCGCUCCCGGCGGGCGAUGGCGCAGCCUUCGUGGCCCGCGUGGGGCGCCAGGCAGGCUCGGAGUAGCCCGUCGCCGGCCUCUCGAGGAGGGGGAUCUGCAGCCGGAGACCCCCAAGAACGAUCACGGAGAAAGUCCCUGGACGUGGGCGAGCUCGAGAGAGCCGAGCAGGAUCGGCUCUGGGCGAAGGUGGCCCGCUGGCUCCGGGCGUCUCUACGGUCGCUGGAGAGCACGAGGGAGCCCGAGCGAGCCGCCUGACGCGGGCUGUGCUGCCAGCUCCGCGGCCCGCAGAGAAGCCUGCUGGGAGCCCGUCCUGGUCCCGGCCCUCGGCCAGCGUCCAGAAGGGGCUUCUGGGGCAGGUCUGCGGCAACGGGGCGGGCAGUGGUCCGGCGCUCUCUGGGCCGGCCCCGGGCUGAGCGCCCGGAGCACAGAAGGGCCAGCACGCGGGCCGUCCUCCAGCCCUGCCAGUUCCAGCUCUGAUGGGAGAGGCUUAGAGCCCGCUGGGAGCACCCGCGGGACGUCCAGCCCAAGUGGGAGGGAGCCCCAGCAGCGCAGGGAGGGGGGUCCCUGGGAAAGGCUUCGGGCAGAAGGUUGGAUUGGACCCGAGGCUUAAAGGAAACCAGCGUAGCCAAGGAGAGGUGACUGGGGAGGCCACCAUUCCAGACAGACCAUGCAAAGGCACGGAGGGGGGAAAUGGCGGGCCUGGAAUGCUGGGUCAAAGAGUGUGGAGAGCGCAGAAGAGUGGAAGAAGCCUGGAAAGAGGGGAAGGAGAGAGGCUGUGAAGAGCCGUCAGUCAGGAGCAGGAGACGACCCGGAGAGCCGGUCUGGAGACUAGCAGAGCCCAGGCAAAGCGGCUGGAAGCCGAGGGCCCAGGCCAGGGGACAGCGGUGGCGCUCUGAAGCCCGCGGCUGCCCGGUGGCCGCAGACUUCCUGGAAGAGGCAGCGGGCCUGGGCCGUCACGCACGAGCCAGGC